CAUUUCAUUAUUUUCAAACUUCAUUCUUUACUUCAUACACAAUAAUUUAUCCCAUUUUAGUUAUAUUAUUUUAUUCUUUGGCUGAAAUGUAGUUUUGAUCUCAUAUUUUUAAUUGUUUGAAGUUUUGAUCCCCCUCUUUUAAAAAUUAAUCUUUCCCCCUAUUUCAAUAUAUAUAUUUUUUUUUUUACUUUUAAUUUGGUCUACCACUCCAUUUUAGGGUGAAUUUCAAUGAUAUUGCAAAGUCAAUUGUGACAUGUUAAAUGCCAUGUGAAUAAAGCAUUAUAGGUGACAUUAAUAUUUAUUUUAUUUUCAUUUAAAAAUAUCUUUAUUAAUAAAAAAAUAAAUUUAAACCUUAAAAUAGAAUGGAGAACUAAAAAUAAAAAGUUGAAAUUGAGGAUAAAAAAAUAAUUUUUAAAUUAGAGGAAUCAUAAUUUCAAAAUAAAUUAAAAAUAAAAGGAUGGAAAUUGUAUUUAAACUUAUUCUCUUUUUUCUUUUGAUUACUCUUUUGUUUUUUUUUGUUCAUUACAACAGCUCAACCACGAACCCCAGGUAUUAAAUGUUUAAAAGCUAUUGAUUGUCCACAAGAUUUUUGCCCAACUAAUAUGGUAGUGAUAUGUGGUUUUGGUGAGUGUGCUUGUGUUCAAUAUAUAAUCCCCAAGGAAAUGCUGCCCCCGAAGGACUAAUUAUAAUACUCAAAUAGAAUAUUUUAUGAGCUGUCAUUUAAUUAUCGUCUUGAUAUUCAAUAAUUUGAAUUUUUUUUUUUAUUUUCUAAUUUCAUAAACCUUGUAUUUUGGCUUGGACUUUAAGAUGCUUAUUAAUUCAGAUGACAUUAAUGAUCAUUUGACGGUUGUUUUUAACGAGAUUCAAACUCGGCAUAUUGUAUAUUUGGCUUUAUAAUCUAAUAUGAUUGUAAUGAAAUGAAAUAAGGCAGCAAAUAUUAUUAUUUUACAGUUGUUUUUGACAACAUUCAAACUCAGCAUAUUGUAUUUUUGGCUUUUCAUUUUUUUUAAGAAUAAUUUCAUGGAUUGUUUUAUAGUUACUUCACAAUCGAACUCUGAAUUAUCGGAAUUUCUUUCUCCUGAAAAUGAAUUGAUUAAUUAAAAAAGAAAGAAAUUCACGUGUUCUUCUUAUCAAAAAAUUUCCAACCCUACUACCUAUAGUUAAGUGAGAAAUUAGUUUUAGUGUCAGUGUGAUAAAUAUACAAUAAACCUAAAAAAUUAAUUUUGUUUAUAAAGUCUUACAAUGCAAGUAACAAAUACAAACAAAUCAGUAGUUCAUGCAUGAAAUUAAUGUCACCAAGAACAACAAAGUUAAAUUAUCAAACUCAUAUUUAAUCCAUCUUGAAAUAACCUACAUAUUUACUUCAAACAAACUCAUUGAUCUCAAAUCAUAUACACCAAUAACCCUUCCCGCCCUUUUCACGAGAAGCACCGAGCUAACUGAAUUUUUAAAGUUAUUUGAUUUGAUUUGAUGAAAUUCAAUUUUCAUACUUAAUUAACACAUCGACAGAUACAAACUGCAUAUAAAAAUCUUUUUUUAAGAUAAGGUAAGAGAAAUCUUUUAUCUCUUGGUUUUGGUUCAUAGGUAGAAUAGAUUUUUUAUUUUUUUAUUUUAUUUUUACGAUUGGUGUAAUGACUCAUUAGUUUGCCUUCAGAGCAUUCAAUGGCGGUUUCUUGAAUUAUAAAGAUUGAAUACCCCAAUACUCCUUAUAACAAAUUAUGUUGGUAUACCAAAUAUGUUGGUAUCCCCUCAAACUGUCAUCCUCUAACAUAUUCUCAUAAUAAUAUAUUAUUGAUUGACCCUUGGCAAAUGCACCAAUUUUAUCGUUAAGUAAUAAUAUUUAUAAUAAGUUCAUCUCCACAGGGAUCGUGUCAAAGUAAUUAGUUUAAUUUUGGAAUUAAAACUAGAAAAGUAAAUUUGCACUCCCUUGUAUAAGAUAAAAGAUAGAUUUUUGGAGAAAUUCAAGUUGAGACAAGUGGUUAGGCGCUUUCGAAUCUCUCCCCUAUUCCUAUUUGGUAAUAUGACGUUAUAUUUCGUUGCAAUUCCUUUUAUUAUCAUGACGGAUUAACCCUAAAAUAGUGAGAUGUGCUUUCACAUACUAAAAUCACCAUAUGCAAUUGAAGACAACGACCAGUAACACCAGUUGGAAAUCAUUCAAGCAUUAAUUGAGCGUUAAUCCUAUUGCCUCUAACAUCGGGUGCUUGAGUUACCUUUCUCAAUGCCGGCUAGAUUAAUUAUCCUAGACUGAAAUUUAGGGCUCUGUUAGGACGAUACCUAAUUCUUAAUAACAAUUAAUUCAUAAAUUUUUUUUUUUUUUUAAGAGACAUAAAAUUUUGAACAAUUUUGUCUCUUUUUCUUUUUUUCUCUUUGAUUUUGUGAUAGUUCUCUUGUAUACCUUCUCAAACUUAGUUGUUGAUAGUUUCAUAUGAGCAACCCCAAACUUAUAAUAUUGUCAAGAAAAGAGAACUAAAUUUCUACCUAACUCUAAGGAGGGUAAACAAAUUUAUUUUUGAGGUCUAUAGGGUUUUAAUAUGGUUUAUCACCGAAAGAAAAAAGAUAAUUUUCACGGCUCAAAAUUGCUAAACAAAGAAUAAUUAUUAUUAAGGGUAACUUGAAAAAGGCUCUAGGUACCAAUAAAAAUUGCCUCAUUGUGAGUAAGUUUAAACCAAUCAGUCAGCAGAGAAUAUUAAUGCAAGUUCUAAAAAAUAAAUAUUUUACGGUACUCUCAUAAAAUAUAGAAAAAAACUGAAAAUACCGUAAAAAUAUUUGGCUCAAAUCCUUUGACUUCGAUAUUUAAAAAGAGAGGUGUUUUAUUGGUAUAGGUAUUACGAAUCAACUCUUAUAAAUCUUCCAUCAAAUAUACAGUCCCAUAUAUCUACGAUCUCAAGAUCCCUAUUAUCUGGUGUCACAUAUUUUGUAGUUAGAUUUGAUCAAGCAUUACACUCAAUUAAUGCAUAAACAUGUCGUCACCUAUUAGGUAAUUAUUUCCACAAAUAAAUUUUCUAUUUUGUCCAACAAUAUUACCCAUUUUUCCUAAAAAAAGAAACCAUUAUUACUCCUUUUUUUUCUUUUCUAUUUUCCCUUUCAUGAUAUGAAAGGUUAUAAAAUAAUGAAAAUUUAUAUAAAAAAUAAUGAAUUCUUAUGAUUGGUAAUUUUUUUCACCUUUUUAUUAAGUGUGUUAUAAAAGUAUAAAACAACAAUUUGACGUACUUAAGAGACAUUUAAUAACGAUUAUAAUUUUAAGAAGAGUAUUAUACAAUUCCAUAAGCGCUAAAAACUAUUUCAUUGAUGUAACAAAAGGAUCACCUCUAUAAAUUAUAAAGUGUUAAAUCAUUUUUUACAUGCAAUGAGGAAAAAUAUGACUCAAAUUGUUAAGUCUGUUUAUAUUAUGAUUAUCUUUUUUUCUCUUUUUUUUCUUGCAAAGAACGUAAACGGUAAAUGAUAUUUAUUAUUUUAAAGUUUCCUAUUUUGCACAUAAUAUUUUAUCCCAUUUUAGUUACCUUAUUUUAUUCUAAUAUUUUUCAUUACAUUACAUUAGGAUAUAUGUGUAUCGACAAUGCUGAUUGUCCUCUUAAUUUAUGCCCGCCUACUAUGCAAGCGAUCUGCUUUUUUGGAGAUUGUGCAUGUGUUGCAGAUCCAUUGCCAGAGCCAGAACCAAUAGAAGAACCAUGAGAGUAUAAAAAUGUCAUGCUGUCAUUUAGUUAUUGUGUUGGCACCUAAUAAUUUGAUUUUUCUUUUUUUUUUAAUUUCGCAAAUCUUUUGGUUAUGAGUUUAUUACUCUAAGAUUAUGGUAAUAAUAUGAAAUAAGGCAGCGAAUAAUAUCAUUUAGAUUCUCCUUUUCUAUCUUAAUUAAUUGUAAGUGGAAAAUAAUAAAAUUUAUAUUAUUAUUUUAAA
This 3894-nucleotide long non-coding RNA is filed under the name Trifolium pratense (red clover). Its description in RNAcentral is "long non-coding RNA (TPRA_LNC002484)". Lineage: Eukaryota; Viridiplantae; Streptophyta; Magnoliopsida; Fabales; Fabaceae. The record is from RNAcentral.